This 468-nucleotide ribosomal RNA is filed under the name uncultured beta proteobacterium. Its description in RNAcentral is "bacterial SSU rRNA". It matches the Rfam family "Bacterial small subunit ribosomal RNA", at positions 335 to 795 of the family's 1533-position model. Lineage: Bacteria; Pseudomonadati; Pseudomonadota; Betaproteobacteria. The record is from RNAcentral.
GAUCCUACGGGAGGCAGCAGUGGGGAAUUUUGGACAAUGGGGGCAACCCUGAUCCAGCCAUGCCGCGUGCGGGAAGAAGGCCUUCGGGUUGUAAACCGCUUUCGGCCGGAACGAAAUCGCCGGGGAAAACAUCCCCGGUGGAUGACGGUACCGGAAGAAGAAGCACCGGCUAACUACGUGCCAGCAGCCGCGGUAAUACGUAGGGUGCGAGCGUUAAUCGGAAUUACUGGGCGUAAAGCGUGCGCAGGCGGUUCGCUAAGACAGGUGUGAAAUCCCCGGGCUUAACCUGGGAACUGCGUUUGUGACUGGCGGGCUGGAGUGCGGAAGAGGGAGGUGGAAUUCCACGUGUAGCAGUGAAAUGCGUAGAGAUGUGGAGGAACACCGAUGGCGAAGGCAGCCUCCUGGUCUAGCACUGACGCUCAUGCACGAAAGCGUGGGGAGCAAACAGGAUUAGAUACCCUGGUAGUC